UUUUAAAAAGUUACAAGCUAUUUCUAAUGUGCCCACAGUCUUUGUGCUCGUCAGAUUCAUGACAGACUUCUGCAAUCCAUACACCCAUUCCUCCAGCCCACGCACUUGAGGAACCUGCCUGUACAGAAAGAUCACUAGACAACAGCAUAGUGGAAAUUUCCUCUCCUUUGCUAUUCAACUGGCAGAGUAGCUCACAAGCUCUUAUUUCCAUCUGAAUGGAGGAGAACUCACAUCAGAGCUAGGGCCCUCUCUUGAUAGACAGGAGACACUGGCACUGCAAAGAAAGCACACCCCAUGCAUAGUCUGCUCAAGGCUCCUCCUCACUGUUUCAACAUUAGUAUUCAUUGAGAUUGUGUCAAGGCCAAGGAUGUAUUGGCCUGGUCCUUUACGCCACGCUGAGAUUCUUGUUGGUUUUGUAAGCACAACUAUUAAGUAUCUCGACUACAUCCAAGUUUUGGGAGGAGACGCAGCAUUUUCUGAAGUCAGUAAAUAUGUCCCAUGAGGACUGAAGAAACAUCCUAAUAUUAAGCAUUUAUACAAUGGUUUAAUAUGAGAAAACAUACUCAGAAAAUCCAAAUAUUUUUAUUGGAAGCAACAAGAUUAUGAUAACAUGCUUUCCAGCUCAGAGGAAAGCAAUGGGAAGACUACCUGAAAACAGGAAAACAAACACUGCCUUCACAAGCUUUACUGGAGAACAUUCAUUUAAAAGCUUCAUUUCAGAAAAAUAAAAGGCCCAGAAGCUCUAUCUUGGAACAAAUUUAGCACAAUGACACGCAACGAUCAUUCUUUGGCAGACUAUCUAGAAUGGGGACUCAUAAACUUUUUGGAGUUUUGUUUUUGGUUUUUUUUUUGCUUUCCUUCUUUGAUCCGCAGCUACCCUCUAGAAGUACAAAGGCAAUUCGCGCUCAUUCAUUCUCGAUUUCCUGCGAUGCUGGGGCGGGGGGGGGGCUGUAAGGAAUGGAUGGAGAAGAGCGGCUGCAUUGACAUGCACGCAGGCUGCUACCAACUAGGAGAGAUAAGCGCGGGGCGGGAGCCGUCCCUGCACCUCGGCGGCGGAAGCCCGUCACAGCCGCACCGAAGCGGCCCCCGGAGUCCCCCCACUGCCCGCCCCCCCGUCGGUGGAUCAGGCGGAGGAGGAGCCUGCGGGCCCAAUUUGCUGCAUUUGCGUACUGAGGCGGGAGGCAUCGAACGGAUGGAUACCUGACCGUAUGGGAGUGCCUGUGUGGGAUGAGAGAUGCUGCUCUGCAGGAGCUGUUACUGAAGCACAACUAACUACAUUAGAAAAAUACCAGAAGACAGAAAGAUAAUGUCAAGAUCACGGUCAUUUCAGAACAACAGUUUACUGUUUGGAGCAGUGGCUGUUUCAUGGAUCUCAGAAUAACAAAUUAUCCCUGUGUCCAUCUAGACAACAACUGGAAGAUGUUUGCUAAUACAGCUCACUAAUUACAACUUCCUCCCCUCAAAAGUAAUAAUUUCCAUUAUUGCUUAAUUUAUAAUUCUCAAAUCAAAAACUUCCCCUCUACUUUAGUUCUAAACUAAGGACUAAACAGAUACAUGUAGCUGAUUAAUCCCUCAAUUAAUUAGCCUUGCAUAAAUAUGGUUGGGAAAAAAGGCUGAAGGGGUGCACAGGAUUUAUGCUCUGCUGCUACACAGAAGGUAAUUCCAUCACACAUUUGGUCUUGGGUUUAUUAUCAUAAUAAAACCAAA
Long non-coding RNA from Harpia harpyja (harpy eagle), 1707 nucleotides. RefSeq lists it as uncharacterized. Lineage: Eukaryota; Metazoa; Chordata; Aves; Accipitriformes; Accipitridae. The transcript is spliced from 3 exons. The record is from RefSeq and is a predicted model, not a curated record.